This is a long non-coding RNA of Mauremys reevesii (Reeves's turtle), 1760 nucleotides long. RefSeq lists it as uncharacterized. The transcript has 3 exons. The record is from RefSeq and is a predicted model, not a curated record. NCBI's taxonomy places the organism in Eukaryota, Metazoa, Chordata, Testudines, Geoemydidae.
CUAAAGUGAGGAAUGGUUGCUGGGAGUAUUCCAGCAGGGAACCUCUAGGUAUCAGGUGGGAACUGAGGAAGAUUGUAGAGGAGUAAGUAGGCUCCAAAGGGAGCCUUGAGUUUUCAGGGAAAAGACUCCAGGCAAAGAAAGCCUGGGAGACCCCAGUGGGAAAGAUGGGUUGUAUGGAAUUUGAUAAAUGUUUUGUUAUCUUAAUAACCCCACCCCUAAGGAGGGGUGUUUCUGAAUUAGAAGAGUUUGAGUAUUUUGACUGGGAAAGAGCCCUGAAAGUGGGGAAACUGAGGCAGCGUGCUGCAGUGUGACCAUAUGCCAUGAGUGAGUACAAAAGCAGGUGACUAGCUUUUUCACAGCCUGAAACAAUACCCCUGUGAACUGAUCCGUUCAUCUCAAUGAAGGAGUCCUCCCAUUACCACCUCUGCAGAAGUGUACAGUGGGAAAAGAAUGCUUCAGGCCCAACCCACCCAAGCAGAUAUAUUCUGGUUUCAGGGACUCUACGCAAAACUUCUUGAAAAUAUUCUGCAAUUAAUUUAAGGAGAAAAUGAACAAGUGGCUGAGACUUAGUAUGAGAUGAUGACUGAUGAUGAAAUUUGCUCACCGUAACUAAAAGCAGUGUGCCGCAUAGCAGCUAUUCAACUGCAUCAGGAAACUUAAGAGUAUUUAUGUGAGCAGGCAUGGACUCGUCCCACGAAGUUGCUCAGUUUGACUUUAGUUUCCUCACUAUGUCUCAACCUUUCAGUCCUCCAAAUGGUGUUCUAUGGACCUGGUCCAGCCACGAAGAAGGGUUCUUUGUAACAUACGCAGGACAUGAAAAGAGCUUUGGCAUAUUUGCCAGCGUGAUGUGAGAACUCCUGGGAACAUUUGCUGCUUCCAUGAGCCCCCUCAAAAGCCCUGGGAUUGUGUGGUGAGGGUGAGGGGGCUAUAGGAUAUUUAAACAGCUGUGUAGUGCUUGAUGUAAAUAUUCUUCUCUUUGACUCUUGCUUCAGCAUGAUGGAUUUCCUGACACUGCCAUCUCUGGUAUAUAGCGUAAGUGUAAUUUUCUUAGAUGACUCAAAAUACUGAGGAUUUUAUUAAGGAUACUGUGACCCUAAGAAGACGCCAAUGCCACCUGGCACACUGUUGUCAUGAUAUUUAUCCAAAGGCUGGCACGUAAUGUAUUACCGGAAAACUCAUAACUCACUGAGCAUUAAUAUUAUUGUGUGGUAUAAAUAUGGGUAACAUGCAAAAUUGCAAAUGUGCUGAAAUUCUGUUCUUAAAAUGUGUGUCACCCUAGACAGAGAAAUGUGAUUCUGCUUGAGUGUGUCUCCAAGGUAAAUCAAGAGAUAUUGGAAAUGUAUUUACAUAAAAGCUAAAUAAAGUCAUCAAGCUAACAAGGGGAGAAGAACAACCAACUAUCACCAGCAGGGGGAAGAACCAGCAUGAAGUCCUCACCGUACCACGCCAUCUCUUCCCAGCAGGAGAAAAGGAACCCUGACUGAGAAUACGUUUCAAAGGUUUACUAGCCUAUAAAGAGAGGGGGAGUGAACCUCCAGGUUAUUCUAUACAUUGAGAGAAAGGAACCGAGCACUUAGAGAUCUGUGAAGGUUUCUGGCCAGGGAGUCUGGUCAGCCCUGCUGGAAGAAACUUGGUGAGAAACACUUUUUUGAACAAGAGGGAGUCUAAUUUGUUAAAUCAGGUGUUAGUCUUAGAAGCAUAUUUUUAUUUUUGUUUGCAUGUAACCCUUUCUAUUUUUAUUCCUUAUACUUGGCAUCACU